Marmota monax (woodchuck) is the source of this 9008-nucleotide long non-coding RNA. RefSeq lists it as uncharacterized. Lineage: Eukaryota; Metazoa; Chordata; Mammalia; Rodentia; Sciuridae. The record is from RefSeq and is a predicted model, not a curated record. The transcript has 3 exons.
CUCAUCAUUAAAAACUUGGAUUUUUUUCUAAAACACAUCAGCAUGUAUGUGUGUGUGUGUAUACACGUACACCUCCUGUGUGUGCACAAGGACUCUGAUCUGGUGCCACUACAGAUCCAGAGUUGUCAUUUUGAGUCCCCAUAGACCAGCGGAAUACUUGUGCCAUGGAAAGUGCUCGGCAUGCAGAAAUGCCUCGGGGGCUCCCACCGGGCGCCCGGAGAGGGAGUUCUGAGUCACCCUAAAACACAUAGGCUGAAAUCCUGACUCCCAGAGCUCAGGAGGUUCUGGGGUCACAGGGGGCUUCUCAUGAAUGAGGUUGGUGUCCUUGCAAAAGAGGCCCAGGAACCAGGUAUUCCUUACCGUGGGAGGACAUAGCACACAGCGCCACCUGUGGGCCAGGAAACGCCCUCACCAGACCGGAGUCACGGGCACUGCUCAUGGACUUCAGGCCCCCACACUGUGAGAAGCGUCUGCUUCUGAGCUACACAGUGGAAGGUGCGUGGCUAUAGCAGCUGAGUGGAGGGAGCCAGGGCCUUUCCCGCGCUCACUCCCCUCACACAUAGGUUCUAGGCCAUAGGAGUGUGAGGGAAAACUCAGUAAAGACGAGAAGAUCUUACUCUUCUAGAAAAGUUAUGCAGGCACCGAGACAGCCAGACCUGAAAGACCACCUGCAGGUCGCUGAAGGAGAUGCGAGAAGCUCAGAAAGGAAACUGACCAAGAGAAAUCCAGUACAGCGUGAGGCACCCCUGCAUCCUAAGGGUCAUAGGCAAAGCUCUCUCAACCGUGAAAAAGGGUUAGAUUUAUGAAAUAAGAACAGGGGCCAGGAAGCAGAGCGGGGAGGGGGGGAGCCACAGUGAAGAUGCCCCCUUCCAGGGCACGGCUCCAGGACCCACCACCUCCCGUCACCCACCUGCCUGCUGUCACCACCGAGUCAGCCCAUUCGAUGAUCAGUCCUUCAAGUGGAUCAGUCUACUACUCAGGGGACAGGUCUGACCAUUUGUGUUGCCUCUGCACACCCUGCACUAGCAGGAGUUCCGGGAGGUGUAUAUCCCGAUCCUGACCCAUAGCAAUGGGGAAAUCUGAGUAUUUGAAUAUGAAAAUAUGGCCUAAUCAUCACUAUUAAAAUUUCAUUCCAUUUUGAGUAAACCGUACAAGGUGACUUGAAGCAAUCGAUGAGCUGGAGGUGUGAGAAGUGACACAAUACACAGCAAAAAGGCAUCCAGAAGGGAACGCAGACCCAGAGACGUGAGUGACACCAUUAAAAUCCCGGCAACCUCCAGAUGAGCCCCAAGGGAGAAGGGGUGGAGGUCGGGAGAAUGCCCAGGGUGAAGAGCCCCCAGGCCUGCACCGGACCUGGCCCAGCACCCACAGCCCCUCCCUGCCCAUGGGGGGCACUGGGGCUUGAGGAGAGGCCACGGCUGCGCAGAGCCUGGUGGCAGGAGCCUUCCUGGCAGCAAUGCCCGGGGAGAACGGCCGGGGCAGCCCGCUCCAGGCCGAAGGGAAAGGACACUGCUUUCCUUACAUCAGGACCUUUAAACCAGCCAGAGCGUCCAAGAAACAAGAUAAGAAUGGCUCUGCUCACAGGACACGGGCCAGUCGAUCCCAGCAGGGUCUACUCACAGCCCCGUUCUGGCUUUAAAUUUUUUACACAUCUCUUGGCUUGUGGGCUGCAUCUGAUGCCUGCCUCCUGGGGCAGUGGGCACAGCUGUUAGGACUGAGGAAAGGGGAUGCGGUCAUAGAGAUGGGCCCAGGCAGAGGCGAAGCACAGUGGUUAGACAACAGAAGGGAGGGGGAGUGCCAGGCCUGUCAGAUCCCAGGGUAGAGAGAUUCUAAAAGAAUCAAGGGCAGGUGGAGGCUCCCUGAAGUCCGGAGAGGAAGAGAACUGAUAUCAUGAAGCAGUCGAGGAGACUUCAUGCCAAGUGACACCAAGUUCAGUUGUGGAAACUAAGAGGAAACAGAACCCAACUUGUUUUCUGGAUAAAAAAUAUAUUCAAAAGGAAAAGGGGACAAAAGAAACCGAAGGGCAGAUGGACAGGCGGAUGGACACAGUCGGCUCAGGGGGAGACCUGAGCGUUGCAUCUGAGGGCCCUCUUGCCCCCAGUCAUCUGCUGGCACGCCGGCAGGUGCCACCCCGUGGGCAGUUGCACCCAUGCCAAGACUCGUGGGGACUCUGGUUUUCUAUUUCAAGCAGGGGGCAGUGGAGAGUGGUGGUCCCGGGUGGUCCCUGCGGCCAUUGACUCGCCUCCAAACACCCGCGUCCUGGAACGGCGGCAUUGUGCCGAGCGCAAGGAGUCAAGGUGCCCCUAGAUGUGGAGGCUGUGCCAGGCUGAGGAACGUCACUGCAGAGCCGAGUCACAUGUGAGGAGCUGUCACCGAGCUAUCACUACGGCAGGCUCCGAGGCAUUGGCACCUGCUGACUUACGUGGCCUGUGCUCCCUCAGGCAGGUGGCAUCCCAUCCGUGCCCUGGAUGUGGGGCCUCACCGAGGAGCUGCCCGAGAGCCCCACAGAGCUCCCUGCGCCCGCUCUCCCAGCCCCACACGGAGAAGACAGGACAGUGCCGGGACGCAGAACCAGGGCCAUGCACAGGGCGGGUCAGGGUCAGGACUAUCCCCAGUCGUUCAGGUUGGAUCUGGGGGACCCUGAGAUGUCUUCUUUCCAGGUAGUACGGAAGGCAGAGAUACUCACGUAGGAAACAUUCCUGGGACUGUGAACAUCUAUGGCAAUAUUUUAUUUUUAUUAAUUUGUCUUCAGUAUUUUUAUUUGGGGAAUUCAUGAACAAAAGUAUUUCUAGCAGAGUUGAUGGGAGGUGACGUAGUAGAGAAAGUUGGUCCACUCAGCCCACAGGUGUUCACUGGGCGCUGUGUCGGGCCGCCAGGCCUCUGCCAGGCCAGAGCCAGGAAGAUGGACAGGUGCCGGCCUCACAGAGCCGACCCGGAGAAGUCAGUCCGAACAGUCCCCUCAACAGUGACCCAGCAGGGCACGCGAAGUGCUUGAAACAAGGAGAAGGGCUGCGGCAGGGCAGGCGUGGAGGGCCCUGGCUGUGGAGGGCGCUGGCCCUGAGGGCACCCGGAGCCGGCAGAGCCCGGAGAGGGCGCUGCAGACCAGUGGCUCCGAGCAGAAGCCCUCGCCUCUGCAGGAAAGGGGCUGUGCGUUAAAUCAGGCCCAGGUGUGGACACGGUCCGCGAAGAGCGGCCGCGGCCAGGUUUGUCCUGGACCCUGGUUGACGUUCAUGGAAACUGACUAUGGAGGGAAAGCUCUCUGUGGAACGUGCCCAGACGCGGCCGAGCUGCAGGAGACUGUUUCCCUUUUCUGCUGACGUUUCAGAGCUUUAGACGAGUUCCUUACGAGAGUCACAGCAGUGACAGCAAGGACAAGAGGUGGACACUGGCCAAGGGUGAGAGUCCUUGAGUCCCACGUAGCUCUUACCAUUAAAAAUAAAAGAAUUCUCUUGGAAGUUUCCAGCAGACUCAGCUGAAUCCUAGCAACUGUGAAGGUCACAGAUCACCAUGCCUAUUUUUUUAAUCCAAGUGUAUUUCAGUGACUGCAAAAAAUCUAGGUUGACAUGUAACAGAUUGAAUCCUACUUGGGAGCUUUCAGCAGGAGAUUAGUGUGCAGUUAAUUGACUUUCAGCCUGAAUUAGUGUGAUCUCUUCUACAUUAAACGGACGUGCACAAGACCCGCAUGCAGCGGUAUCACCACAGGAUUACUUUACUAUGUAUAGGCAUUUUGCAUUUUAAAAGGCCUUAUGAAAACAUGUGCCUCUUUACACGACCUUUCAUAACUGAUUCCAGCUGCGGCCUGCCAACCAAUUGUAAUGCUUGUUUUCUUAACAAGAAACUUCCCUUUCUUGGAGCAAGAAUGCUUGGUGCAUUAAGUGAUUAGAGCGAUUAAGUCCUGAGCAAACUCACCAAGCCUGCUCCUCUGAGACCCAGCACGGCCAUAGAAUGAGCCAUGGCAGUGCUCCUGGGAUGAGUGUCUGCACAGCCUCCGUCUCUGCAGAAAGGAAGUGUGGGCAUCAGGACUGGCACUCUCCAGCACACCACACCUCCAGGUGGCCUGAGCCAGGCCCUGCAUGGUGGCCAUCAGGACGGCGGGACAGCCUGACGGAGGGGAGCCGGUCCAGACCUGGGCACCUAGCUCCUCCUGGGCUCCUGAGGCCUCACGUGCUGUCCGAGGCACGGAACAGCACGCUCUCACGGGAGUGGCCUCCCAGCCUUGAGUGUGCGCAGCAGGUGCCGGCUUUGGCGGAAAGCGCUCAGUAUCGAAGCAGAAGUGACCGGCAGGUGCCAGGGGCAGAGGGUGUUCUCCUCCAUGGAGGUGGAGGAGUGUGGUGCUGCUCACGGGGAGCAAAGACAGAGACGAGGAGCUCCUGCCACAGGUCACGGAGCCACAGGAAAGGACCAGCACGGGGAGGGGGCCCGGGGAGGGGACUGGUGCAGAGUCCUGGGGUCCCAAGGCCCACUGAAGAGGAGGAGGAAGGGCUCAGUCUUUCCUGGGAACAGAGAAGACCCAAGGCAGUGCCAUGGUCCCGAUAGAGGUGGUCUCCUUCCUUGGAGCCUGUGUGGCUGCAGAGACCGGCUGCACCCCUUCUCUGGGGCUGGCCACUCCUGCGGCUCCUCACCUAGAGCGCCCCCAUCUCUCCACUAACUAACGCAGGCUUCCAUCCGCAUCCUACCUGCAGAGGGCGUGGGGUCGGCUGCUGGUGCAGGCUCGUGCUCUGGUGCUACGUGGGACCGGGCGCGUCUCUCCUGGGAACAGGAGGAAGACGUCGUGGAAGCGGUUGGUGGAGACCUGCCGGAUGUAGGUGCUGACGUUCCCCCUCUAGCUUGCAGGGUAGACUCAAGCCCCGCUGGACAGAGGUGAAGAAUUGUGGACAUGGGGCACUUGGCAGGGCUCUGGGUGGGAGAGGUGUGGCUUGGGCCACCUGAUGGCUGACGGUGGACAUUCAGUGCGAGGAUCGUCCCGUGCCCCCCAGGCUCCAGUGCCCACCACCAGCUGAGCCGCACCGGCCCCUGGUGGGCUGGCGACAUGGCACAGGCUGCUCCCACGGUGGCACCAAGAAUGGAGCAGGGGCUGACAAGCCAGCAGAGCAGCAGCACGCAGACUGACUGACCACAGGAAAAGGCCGGAUGUGAAGCACAGCUCCCCAGCUCUGCCUGCACAGUGUGGGCCAAGAGCCUGUGACGGCAUGAACUUCCACCCGCUCCGUUGCUGCCGUCGUCACCUCCCGUUCCCCAAGCCCACGGUCGUCAGAAGCUGGGUGCCGUGUCUUCACUGGCACUGAGCUCUGCCCAGGUCUUUGCCACAGGUGUGUCACAUCAGCGACUCUUGGCUGCCGUGAGCGAGGUGGCCCCAGCAACAGAACUGAGCCGUGUCCAGCUCUGGGGGCAGGAGGCUCAAGGGUAACCUCCCAUCCUGUGGCCAAGAGUAGUCAGCAGACGCUCCCUAAGGGACAUCAUUGUGUGUGCCCAAGCCCAGCAGCACACGUGGCUGACAAGCUGCUGGCAGCUGAGAAGUUCCACAUGGGGCUGGACAGUGGGGUCACCAGUAUCACAGGGUCACAGGCUGCUGGCAGGAAGGGCUGAUGGUGGUCCUUGGGAUCCAGGCGUGGUGAACAAAUGGCCCCCAAUGUCCAUACCCAAAUUCCUGGAUUUCACGAGUGUUGUGUUGUGUGAGGGAUGACCUUGGUAUAAUCAAGAUGGGGCACCUUAAAAUAGGCAGUUAUCCUGGACUACCUAGAGGGCCCCGUCCGACCACAUGAGCCUUUGAGGGCAGAGAAGUUUCCUGGCUGGAAGCGACAGAAGUGAGGCAGGGGGUCAGCAAGAGCUGAGGCCAAGAGCCCAGCCCACUCUGCUGGCUUUAAAGGUGGAGGGGCCAGAACACGUGGUGUCCCUCAUGCUGAGAAGGAGCCCCAGCUGAUGGACAGGGAGCACACAGAGCCUCUCCCACCACCACAGCCUGAGUGAGCAUCCUGCCGAGAACCAGCCAACUGGCUCCGUAUUUCAAACCAGAGCAGGAAACCCAUGAGGCCAGUCCAAGAGCUGACUGCAGACGGGGACAGUACAUUUGUGCUGUCUCUGUUGCUAGACGGAUGCUAACUUGCUACAGCAGCAACAGUGAGCACUAGGUGUCCACUGCCUUUAGUACCAGAGGUGAGGUCGGCUUUAACGUCCCUCCCGGCACCCUCACUGACACUUCUGCAGGGCCUGGGGUCAGGCGGGCAGCACGUGCCUCGUGGUCUGCUCCAGGACUGAGCUCCUGUUUCUACUUGGUGUCUUGUGGAGUGCUGGCUAUUGGACUGGUGGCACUGGCCCUCUGCUUUUGCCCAGCAAGGAACAUGCUAGGAAGGCCUGCCACAGGACAAGCCACCUGUGGUGGGCCCAUGUCACCUCUCUGUAGACCAGUGGGCAGCCUGCCCCUGCCCAGCGGGCCUAGCCAGGACCAGCCCUGCCUGAUGCUCCAGAGCUGGAGCAGCAAGCACCCCUGCGUGUCACCAAGGUCUGGACAUCACUUGUCUCGUGUCACCAUGGUGGCACCAGGUCAGGCACAGUGGCCUGAAGGGAUUUGGGUCCGGCCGUCAGUGGCUUUACUCUUCUGGCUUUCUCCCGCCCCAGCCGACGUUCCAACCUCAGUUAGCAGGCUCCUCUCUCCUCCUCCCACUCACUCAGUCAGCUUUGACUUCCUAAUAUUAGGGGCUUCUCCUGUCCUGAAUCAGAGGCAGCUCUUCAGGUGCAAGUCCUCUGGGGAAUCAGGCCAGGACUCCUCCAUUGAGGGUGAACAUAGCAGAAGUCCACUGCUGUGGGCACCCUGAGUGGCCUCCUGCCCUCAGGAGCUUGGGUGCCGUGGAGUGGUCAGGGCGCCAGAAGGAGCUUCAGAACCAGGAGAAGAGACGGCUGUGGUCCUGGUCUCUCAGACACAGGCCUCCCCCACCUGUGCCCCUGACCACCAGUCCCAGACAGCCUCGCAGGACUCCAAAACACGUGCCACACACCCUCCAAGACGGCCGAGCCUGGCGAGGCUUUCCUCUGGCACCUGCAUCUUCACGUUGUCAUGGCUGAUGCCCAGUGGGCCCUGAAUGAAGGGGAGGGGGGCGGGAGGAGAGAGCGUGGGAGAGAACCUGCAUUCUGUUUCCGACCUCCCCCUCCUAGUCUUUAUCUUAACCUUGACGGAACAUUGAAGAUUUAAAAGGUAUAAAUAAGUCAAGUUUCUUAACACUCCUCACAGAACCAAGCUGUAAAUGUGGAAUGUACGAAUCACAGUGAGUGAGAACGUGAAGCUGCCAAGUCGGGAGUACAGAGUCCUCUGCCAUCUCCUGAGCACUGAGUCGUCAGAGUCCAUGACUCACAGGAUCAGCGGCAGUUCCCAGGCCCGAGACAGCACCACGGGAGGAAGGUCGGGGUGGAAAUAGGGGCGUGGUGCUCAAGUCGCUCUGACCGGCUCUUUGGCAGACUCCUGCUAGCAGUGACAAGCAUGAAGUAUCGAGGGUGACGUCCACUGUACUGACAGCACCCACCCUGCGGGGGUCCCUGGACUUCCAGGAUGCCUGUACUCGUUGGGGAUUGACGUGAUUUCUCUACGGCUCAGAGGCUCUAACUUUUACCUUCCUCAGGCGAGAGCACUUCCAACAGCCUUCGGGCCCGUGUUCAGUUCCCGACGUCUGCAUACGAAGUCCCGUGGUGCCACUUUAGAUGCCGUGUGUGGUGCCGGGCCUUGUCACGGCCGAGUGUCCACUGGGCUGGGGAGUACUCUUCGCCUCCAGAGGGAGGGAGGGACGCAAUGUGGCGUUCAAGCUCUUGCCUUGCGGCCUUACGCCCUGGAGCUCCCGCGGGGGUCUGGAUGGAGCUGAGGAGGAGACAGGGUCAGGAAAGCCGCCGUGCUCCCUGUGGACCAGUGUUUCAGGCUCUGCUCAGGGUUGAACCCUCUGGGUCUGCCAGUCACUGGCAGCCUGUCCCCUUUCUGUGACCCAGGACAUUCAUCUAGGUCUCUGUGGCCCUUGGAUCUUGUAGUGUUCUCCUUACUGUGCUGCCCUGAGCUCCUCGGAUGGGGACAGAGUCACCGACCUGUGAUCUCUACGUGUUUGCAGAGACUAGAAGGACGUUACAAGGACUUGCAGAACUGAAUUUGCUUUAAGUCACCAUUUCAGCGACUUUAUAGCAGUUUCCUACUGGGACAUUAUAAAACCCAAUAUCUGUUCUUAAAAUUCAUGAAGAGCUCUUAGUAACAUUUCUCCUUCCUUUUGAUCCUCCUUCAGUGUUUAAAAAUGAACUAAAGGACUUGACUUGGACUGCUGAGAUUCAAGAGCACGCACCACUCGUUUCUGUCUAGAAUUCAUAAUGAUGCAGAAGUUUUCCCUGUUAAACUGCUCCUGCCCACAGCCCUGUGUCCUGACUGGGUUUCCCUGGAUCUGGUUCUGGAGGUGGACAUUCAGAUCAUCUCCAGGUUCACUGUGACUCACGAGGACAUGAGCGUCCACAGACAAGGCCUUCUGUCAACACAGGGCAACGUGUAUGCAAUGUACGGUCAGCGGGAGCUGGUCAGCCUCCUUCUCUCUGCCCAGGCCGGCUCUCUGGGCUCCUCUGGAUUGAGGCCCGUGGCUGAGAGGCUGAGGUACCCUGUGGAUCAGGUUGCUUCGGGGUCUCCCACUGGGGCUGAGCGCUGGCUCCUACAGUGUCCCUCCUUGUAUUUGACUUUCAGGCCCACAGUUGGGUGGUGUUUCUGAGUCAGUGAAAUGGGACGUGCUCAUUCAAUCUGCUCUCUUGACUCGGUGGCUUCCCCUGGAAAUUAGAAGGUGACAGGCGAAGUCCUGUCCCCUGUUUACUGAUGAGAAUGCUCACACAACAAUUCUAGUGUGUACCUUCAUGUCUCUUCUCAUUUAUUUUAAUCCUUAGCUGUUCUGUGAAUGCAGAGUAUUUUCAUGCAACAAGCAAGUUGUCUUUGGAGUAAGAUUAUUAAAUCUAAUGAAGACAGUAAAUUGUUCUAGUAUAUUGGCUCUGAGGAACUAUUUAGA